UUUGAAGAUAAAAUGCAAUCACAGUAAACAAGACACGAACAAAAACUAAUGAAAGGGACUCAAGGGUAUUCCCGAGGGUAAAUCUUUGGGUGGUAGUACAUAGACAUUGAUCGAGUCAUGCGUCUGGUUUGAAAUAUUUCCGGAUCAUAGUAGUCUGCGAUGUCUGGCUCGCUCGUUGGAGAGGGGUCUCGCCUGCGUGUAGGAGCCUGCUUUGUUGAUAAGUACUGUUCAGAUGGUGGUGAACUGAAUGUCGGGCGAAAAGCGGGUGCAUCUGAUCUCAUUGUACUAGUCAUAGGUGCGUCUAAUCUCAUGGUGUUCUGUGCUACGACAUCUGAAUCGUGGGAGAUUGACCUGCUUACUGUAGGGACAUCGUCCUCUGCAUUUUGCAUGCAGUUUCCAAGGCCCAUGCCAUCCAUGUCUCUCUGUAUAUGUUCUUUCACCUUAUUGUGUGUAGGAGCUGUGAUAGAAGGACUAGGUGAAGGUGUAUGCGUAGGAGUCUUACUCACAGAAGGUCCCUCUCCAAAGAGCUUAAAAACCAAGUCCUCAAUAGCAAAUCUCAUGGUAGAUCCAACUUUCAUUCCAUGAUCCUUCUUAAAGUGAUCAAUCAGCAUAUGCUUGACACCAUGUCGCUCUGAGCUGAUCUCAGCCAACAACCCCUGUGCAAGAGUGGUUUGAGGAACUUUCCCGAUACCUGAUCCCUGCGCUGAUUGGGUACCAUCUGUGUGUGUCUUCAAUGGUGGAGAACUCAUAUGCGUCGGCUCAGGGGGUACAUCAGUAGUAGCUGUGGGAAUAGGAGCUAUGGAAGUAAUAAUAGGAGAAGUGGGUACCUUGAUAG
RNAcentral lists this long non-coding RNA (835 nucleotides) under Olea europaea subsp. europaea. The record is from RNAcentral. Lineage: Eukaryota; Viridiplantae; Streptophyta; Magnoliopsida; Lamiales; Oleaceae.